AUUAGUGGCGAACGGGUGAGUAACACGUGAGUAACCUGCCCCUCACUCUGGGAUAAGCGUUGGAAACGACGUCUAAUACCGGAUACGAGCUUCAGCCGCAUGGCUAGGAGCUGGAAAGAAUUUUGGUGAGGGAUGGACUCGCGGCCUAUCAGGUAGUUGGUGAGGUAACGGCUCACCAAGCCGACGACGGGUAGCCGGCCUGAGAGGGUGACCGGCCACACUGGGACUGAGACACGGCCCAGACUCCUACGGGAGGCAGCAGUGGGGAAUAUUGCACAAUGGGCGAAAGCCUGAUGCAGCAACGCCGCGUGAGGGACGACGGCCUUCGGGUUGUAAACCUCUUUUAGUAGGGAAGAAGCGAAAGUGACGGUACCUGCAGAAAAAGCACCGGCUAACUACGUGCCAGCAGCCGCGGUAAUACGUAGGGUGCAAGCGUUGUCCGGAAUUAUUGGGCGUAAAGAGCUCGUAGGCGG
This 473-nucleotide ribosomal RNA is filed under the name uncultured Leifsonia sp. RNAcentral describes it as "bacterial SSU rRNA". It matches the Rfam family "Bacterial small subunit ribosomal RNA", at positions 91 to 578 of the family's 1533-position model. The record is from RNAcentral. Lineage: Bacteria; Bacillati; Actinomycetota; Actinomycetes; Micrococcales; Microbacteriaceae.